UGGGGCGUUGGCGGAAUGGUAGACGCACGGGACUUAAAAUCCCGGGGCCGCAAGGCCGUGUGGGUUCGAGUCCCACACGCCCCAUC
Molecule: transfer RNA, 86 nt
Filed under: Thermosporothrix hazakensis
Lineage: Bacteria; Bacillati; Chloroflexota; Ktedonobacteria; Ktedonobacterales; Thermosporotrichaceae
Also listed under: 1 other name
Description: tRNA-Leu
Rfam family: tRNA
About the family: Transfer RNA (tRNA) molecules are approximately 80 nucleotides in length. Their secondary structure includes four short double-helical elements and three loops (D, anti-codon, and T loops).
Source: RNAcentral